RNAcentral lists this small RNA (682 nucleotides) under Pongo abelii (Sumatran orangutan). RNAcentral's name for it is "processed transcript". Lineage: Eukaryota; Metazoa; Chordata; Mammalia; Primates; Hominidae. The record is from RNAcentral.
AAUGCAGAGACACAAGUAACAGGAUAGGUUGUGUUUGGUUUAAAGGAGAAGGAAGAGGUAAAUAUAUGUAUGUUAAAAUUUGGCUUUCCCCCCCCAAUUAAGGAUGUUAAUGAUUGGGUUGGGCCACCAAAUAAUAAUGGCGUAAUUAAAGAAGUUACUAUUAAUCCAGACACUAUUUGUGGCAAUGACUGGGUCUGUGAACAUCGAUGGUGCCAAAUAAGGUGAGAAUAUGUAUUUAGACAUGUCCUCUAAUAGUAAACUUUCCUUAGCAUUUUAUUUAAAACAGUUGAAGUUUAAGAAUAUCAACAUUUUAUAUGUUACUGUGUUUUUAGGAACAUGGUUAUUUUCCGCAAUGUAGUGGAUGGCCAGCCUUUUACAAACUGGUAUGAUAAUGGGAGCAACCAAGUAGCCUUUGGAAGAGGAAACAGAGGAUUCAUUGUUUUCAACAAUGAUGACUGGUCAUUUUCUUUAACUUUGCAAACUGGUCUUCCUGCUGGCACAUACUGUGAUGUCAUUUCUGGAGAUAAAAUUAAUGGCAAUUGCACAGGCAUUAAAAUCUACGUUUCUGAUGAUGGCAAAGCUCAUUUUUCUAUUAGUAACUCUGCUGAAGAUCCAUUUAUUGCAAUUCAUGCUGAAUCUAAAUUAUAAAAUUCAAAAUUAAAUGCAUAUCCUCAAAACAAUA